Molecule: ribosomal RNA, 253 nt
Filed under: uncultured bacterium
Lineage: Bacteria
Description: partial 16S ribosomal RNA
Rfam family: Bacterial small subunit ribosomal RNA
Source: RNAcentral
UACGGAGGAUCCAAGCGUUAUCCGGAAUCAUUGGGUUUAAAGGGUCCGUAGGCGGCCCAGUAAGUCAGUGGUGAAAUCUCACGGCUCAACCGUGAAAUUGCCAUUGAUACUGCUGGGCUUGAAUUACCAGGAAGUAACUAGAAUAUGUAGUGUAGCGGUGAAAUGCUUAGAUAUUACAUGGAAUACCGAUUGCGAAGGCAGGUUACUACUGGUAUAUUGACGCUGAUGGACGAAAGCGUGGGGAGCGAACAGG